CCUACGGGUGGCAGCAGUGGGGAAUAUUGGACAAUGGGGGCAACCCUGAUCCAGCCAUGCCGCGUGUGUGAAGAAGGCCCUCGGGUUGUAAAGCACUUUCAGUGAGGAAGAACGCCUGGUGGUUAAUACCCAUCAGGAAAGACAUCACUCACAGAAGAAGCACCGGCUAACUCCGUGCCAGCAGCCGCGGUAAUACGGAGGGUGCGAGCGUUAAUCGGAAUUACUGGGCGUAAAGCGCGCGUAGGUGGCUUGAUAAGCCGGUUGUGAAAGCCCCGGGCUCAACCUGGGAACGGCAUCCGGAACUGUCAAGCUAGAGUGCAGGAGAGGAAGGUAGACUUCCCGGUGUAGCGGUGAAAUGCGUAGAGAUCGGGAGGAAUACCAGUGGCGAAGGCGGCCUUCUGGACUGACACUGACACUGAGGUGCGAAAGCGUGGGUAGCAAACAGGAUUAGAUACCCCGGUAGUC
Molecule: ribosomal RNA, 465 nt
Filed under: Vreelandella stevensii
Lineage: Bacteria; Pseudomonadati; Pseudomonadota; Gammaproteobacteria; Oceanospirillales; Halomonadaceae
Description: partial 16S ribosomal RNA
Rfam family: Bacterial small subunit ribosomal RNA
Source: RNAcentral